RNAcentral lists this ribosomal RNA (500 nucleotides) under uncultured bacterium. RNAcentral describes it as "partial 16S ribosomal RNA". It matches the Rfam family "Bacterial small subunit ribosomal RNA", at positions 30 to 523 of the family's 1533-position model. The record is from RNAcentral.
AUUGAACGCUGGCGGAAUGCUUUACACAUGCAAGUCGAACGGCAGCACGGACUUCGGUCUGGUGGCGAGUGGCGAACGGGUGAGUAAUGUAUCGGAACGUGCCCAGUCGUGGGGGAUAACGUAGUGAAAAUUACGUUAAUACCGCAUACGAUCUAUGGAUGAAAGCGGGGGAUCGCAAGACCUUGCGCGAUUGGAGCGGCCGAUAUCAGAUUAGGUAGUUGGUGGGGUAAAGGCCCACCAAGCCAACGAUCUGAAGCUGGUGUGAGAGGACGACCAGCCACACUGGAACUGAGACACGGUCCAGACUCCUACGGGAGGCAGCAGUGGGGAAUUUUGGACAAUGGGCGAAAGCCUGAUCCAGCCAUUCCGCGUGCAGGAUGAAGGCCCUCGGGUUGUAAACUGCUUUUGUACAGAACGAAAAGGUCUCUACUAAUACUAGGAGCUCAUGACGGUACUGUAAGAAUAAGCACCGGCUAACUACGUGCCAGCAGCCGCCGCGG